CAAUAUACAUAACCUUAACAUUUGUACCCCCAUACUAUGCUGGAAAAAGUAAAUAAAAUAAAAUAAAAAGCAACCUGUGGAGGAGUUGAGUUCUAAAGGCUAGAAGGAGAAAACCUGCUGAUAAAAGGCAAGGAGAUAGAUGAAAGUGAGCACCCAAGGAGAAUGAAAAGGAUAGAAUAAAUUGCUAAUUUGUCC
Microcebus murinus (gray mouse lemur) is the source of this 195-nucleotide non-coding RNA. The record is from RefSeq and is a predicted model, not a curated record. NCBI's taxonomy places the organism in Eukaryota, Metazoa, Chordata, Mammalia, Primates, Cheirogaleidae.